Long non-coding RNA from Leptopilina heterotoma, 412 nucleotides. RefSeq lists it as uncharacterized. The transcript has 3 exons. The record is from RefSeq and is a predicted model, not a curated record. Lineage: Eukaryota; Metazoa; Arthropoda; Insecta; Hymenoptera; Figitidae.
CUUUGGUGGGGCAAGAAUUUAUCACGUUUUUCGAAGUGACAAAUUUUUUUCUUAAUUGCUUCGUGGUCUUUGAUACACUUGACGAAUCACAUCCAUAAGUGAUGGAUGCUUGCACAAUUCUCAAGAGGAGGUCGAAAGAGGAACAGGAUCAAAGUUGAGGGAAAUGGAAGAAAUAAAAGAGACCCAUGACCAGAAGGAGGAAAAGAAAAUCAGAACAAGGAAUAGACCUGAAAGGAUUUUAGUUUAGACUCAUGACCAGUAGGAGGAAAAGAACAGUGGAACAAGGAAUAGACCUAAAAGGAUUUUAACUAGCAAGUUACUUAUAUGCAUUAAAAAAGAUAUUUUUUUUUAUACAAGCAUUACGUGCAUUUACAUAUUAAAUUGAAUAAAAAUAUUAUGUAAUACUGUAUAA